Molecule: long non-coding RNA, 2040 nt
Organism: Mya arenaria
Lineage: Eukaryota; Metazoa; Mollusca; Bivalvia; Myida; Myidae
Exons: 3
Source: RefSeq, a predicted model, not a curated record
CUCGGCCAUUAAAACAAAAAAACAGCCGAGGAAUUCCGAAUGCGCUAAAUAAUAGGACUAACAGUGUAUAUCCAUAUAUAAGCUGAAUAAAACAAGGAAAGGCAAUUCUAAACAGAUAUAUUGGACAGAUGGAGGAGCAUAUAAAUUGUACAAUGUGUUCCUGGAGCCGCUGUUUUUGACGAGACAAUGCAACAAUACUGUGGAUAGAUGUGGCAUAAUCUCCCUAUUCAAGCCAGCUUAGAUUUCUACACAAUCUAGGAAUAUAGUUCUAAAUCUAUCACUUCCUAAUAUCACAAUUAAGAUUGUGAAAAUAACUAUGAUGACAUUCUACAAUUGCAGCUAAAUAUUUAUCCACAAUGUUUAUGGGGAAAAAUUGUUGCUGAAUUUGAUAAUAAGGCUGAUCACUUUAGUUACUUGAUAACUUUAGUCACAUUGUUAAAUUACAACCUUUUGAUUUUAGGUGCUGAAAUUGGCCACUUGACUAUUUUAUGUAUUUGUGUAUUUGAUACUUGUAUCAGUUAUUCUGAAAUUGUCAGUUUGCUUAGUCACACCUUUGUAAAGGACUUUGAUGUAUAAAAUGCCUGCCCUUGAACAUAACAAUAUUUAUAUCUCACCAAAACCUUUGCAAUGUUUAUUGGUAUAAUGUUUCUCUAUAGUAAAUGUCCUACAAUGUAAAUUGACCUUGUAAGAUUUCUUUUUGACCAAAUCUAUUUCCAUAUUGUGAUGAAUAUAAAUUAAACUGAUGUCCAAUCUUUAAAUCUUUAAAUAAAACUAUUGCGAAUUGUUAAUUUAUUGUCAGACAGCAUGUCCAAUUGUCUUUAUUAUCAUAUAGAAAAUAGUGAGUUAUUCUUAUUUUUUAUCACAGUUGUGGAAUCAAUUGGGGAUUGGCAUGGUUUACUGAGCAUUAGAAGGGACAUCAUGAUGAAAGAUAUUAGAAGUCUAGUGCAUAGUGCUUGAUGUUAAAAUUUCUUUGAUGAUAUAGUUUAUUAUAUGUGAUUAUUUUUUGUGGAUAAUAUUUGUUACCUUUCUUGAAGUAUGAUUACACCUUAAGUAUGAACGGUCAUUGGCUUAUUGAGUGUUGUUGUGUCCUCAGUGACACUUCACAUUUCAUGAGAAAAUAUAAUAUUUCAGAAAUGUAAACAUGAACAAAUAUAAUAUGUCUUGUACUAUAAUAUGAAUGGUUUAUGUUUUAAUAAAAAAAUAGCUAUGUAAAACCACAACUUGCACUGUAUACUAUUUUGAGCACAAACAAUUCAAAUAUAUUUAUGUACCUAUAAACAAUUAUAACCCUUGACAUAGCACCAUUUAUUUAGUGAUAGGAAAAUCAAGGAGUAUUCCACACUGUGCAUACAUAGGAAUACUAGAUGUACAUGUACAAACAUAACAUGACAGAAAAAUUAACCCUGUACUGAUUUAAGUGAAACUAUUAUUUUAAACCAAUACAUACACUUGUAUAACAAGCAUACUUUUUGAAUGAUAAACCUUUAACUAUUUACUAAAUAAUGCAUUUAUGGAAAACAUUGAUUACUUAUAACAAGAUUGUAACCAUGUAUUUAUUGGCUGAAAACGUGCAAAUAUUAAAUGAUAGAUGAUUUACAGUAAUCAACUAUCUUCUUAAAAUAUUUACAGUAAUCAACUAUCUUCUUAAAAUAGAAAUACCAUGUUUUUGUACCUUUCUUUAAAAUUCAGCAUGGUAUCCUUCAUUAUAUAAAUAAGUAUUGAAUAGACUUGCUCUUUCUGACUUUGUAAUUUGAACUAAAAUUGAACUGAAUUUUUAAAUAAAGAACAAUAAUAACCCGUUUUUCAUACUGAUGUCUGAUUAUCAUUCCCUUGUCCAACUGCUUCACAUUUUGAAUAUCGAUCAAUUUCUUAUUUUUUUACAAUUUAAGACUUUACUUUUUACAGUCUAGACUGCAAAAUAAAUGUCUUGGUCAUACUCAUAGUUUUAAAUUCUCAUUUAUAUAUUUUAAGGUCUGGCUGCAUUUGCCUUCUGUUGGUUCCAUCUCUGUCAUAUUCAUUAUGUGUUUCCAUUUACAUUAA